ACACACAUAAACCUAAUUAUAUAAUGGAGAGAACUUCUUCCAUGUGACAAGCCGCCAAUGUUGAAAGCGUGCGAGUGAGGAGCCAUCACCUCCAUAGCACCACCUGGUCCACCUCCACAUGCAUCUCCCUCUUUCCAUCGUUUCUCUCCUCCUCCAACCCAUCUUGCUCCACUUUGUCUUGGUGUCUCGUGGGAAAGUGUGGAUCCGCCGCUGUUUAUCACUAACCACGACGAGUCAUCACCACGGGAGUAUCAGCCCCUGCCAUCACAUGCCUCGUUCUGUGCCAUCCCGUCCAUGGCGUUGAGGCUUCAUAUAUGGUUUGUAUGUGGAGAACGUGAGCCGAGAGGGAAAGGAGACAUACGAGCCGGAGACACCGUAUCUUGACACCAGCGGGACUGAUGAUCUUCACCACCACUAGCCGUAAACCAUCAGAGUUGUCGCUCAUACCGCUGUAGUACGAGAGAUACACCGUUCCAGGUCCAUGUCGUAAAGGUUAAGUGUUCCUCAUGUGUGUCUUGGGCAGUAAGUUUCUAAAC
RNAcentral lists this long non-coding RNA (536 nucleotides) under Brassica napus (rape). Its description in RNAcentral is "long non-coding RNA (BNAP_LNC000789)". The record is from RNAcentral. Lineage: Eukaryota; Viridiplantae; Streptophyta; Magnoliopsida; Brassicales; Brassicaceae.